Molecule: ribosomal RNA, 253 nt
Filed under: uncultured bacterium
Lineage: Bacteria
Description: partial 16S ribosomal RNA
Rfam family: Bacterial small subunit ribosomal RNA
Source: RNAcentral
UACGAAGGGGGCUAGCGUUGCUCGGAAUGACUGGGCGUAAAGGGCGCGUAGGCGGCUUGCACCGUCAGAUGUGAAAUUCCUGGGCUUAACCUGGGGGCUGCAUUUGAUACGUGUGGGCUUGAGUGCGGAAGAGGGUCGUGGAAUUCCCAGUGUAGAGGUGAAAUUCGUAGAUAUUGGGAAGAACACCAGUGGCGAAGGCGAAUCCCUGGAAAAUACCUGACACUGAGGCACGAAAGCUAGGGGAGCAAACAGG